This 301-nucleotide ribosomal RNA is filed under the name uncultured bacterium. RNAcentral's name for it is "partial 16S ribosomal RNA". It matches the Rfam family "Bacterial small subunit ribosomal RNA", at positions 509 to 809 of the family's 1533-position model. The record is from RNAcentral.
CAGUAGCCGCGGUAAUACGGAGGGAGCUAGCGUUGUUCGGAAUUACUGGGCGUAAAGCGCGCGUAGGCGGUUACUCAAGUCAGAGGUGAAAGCCCGGGGCUCAACCCCGGAACUGCCUUUGAAACUAGGUGACUAGAAUCUUGGAGAGGUCAGUGGAAUUCCGAGUGUAGAGGUGAAAUUCGUAGAUAUUCGGAAGAACACCAGUGGCGAAGGCGACUGACUGGACAAGUAUUGACGCUGAGGUGCGAAAGCGUGGGGAGCAAACAGGAUUAGAUACCCGGGUAGUCCCUGUCUCUUAUAU